UACGUAGGCAGCAAGCGUUGUUCGGAGUUACUGGGCGUAAAGGGUGCGUAGGCGGCCUGAUAAGUAGGGGGUGAAAUCCUGUGGCUUAACUGCAGGGCUGCCUCCUAGACUGUUAGGCUCGAGCACGGUAGAGGCAGAUGGAAUUCCCGGUGUAGCGGUGGAAUGCGUAGAGAUCGGGAAGAACAUCGGUGGCGAAGGCGGUCUGCUGGGCCGUUGCUGACGCUGAGGCGCGACAGCGUGGGGAGCAAACAGG
RNAcentral lists this ribosomal RNA (253 nucleotides) under uncultured bacterium. Its description in RNAcentral is "partial 16S ribosomal RNA". It matches the Rfam family "Bacterial small subunit ribosomal RNA", at positions 524 to 776 of the family's 1533-position model. The record is from RNAcentral.